This 598-nucleotide ribosomal RNA is filed under the name Nannacara anomala (goldeneye cichlid). RNAcentral describes it as "partial 16S ribosomal RNA". It matches the Rfam family "Bacterial large subunit ribosomal RNA", at positions 1808 to 2611 of the family's 2925-position model. The record is from RNAcentral. Lineage: Eukaryota; Metazoa; Chordata; Actinopteri; Cichliformes; Cichlidae.
CAAAAACAUCGCCUCUUGAAACAUUAAACAUAAGAGGUCCCGCCUGCCCAGUGACUAUGGGUUCAACGGCCGCGGUAUUUUGACCGUGCUAAGGUAGCGCAAUCACUUGUCUUUUAAAUGAAGACCCGUAUGAAUGGCACCACGAGGGCUUAACUGUCUCCCUCUUCCUGUCAAUGAAACUGAUCUCCCCGUGCAGAAGCGGGGAUUACUACACAAGACGAGAAGACCCUAUGGAGCUUCAGGCUCCUGAACAGACUAUGUUAAACAUUCUCCCACAAGAGGCUAAACUUAUUAGACGCUGUUCCAAUGCCUUUGGUUGGGGCGACCACGGGGAAAGAAAAACCCCCAUGUGGAAUAGGAAUAUACCCUCCCACAACCCAGAGUUGCAACUCUAAGUACCAGAACAUCUGACCAAUAAAUGAUCCGGCAUCGCCGAUCAACGAACCGAGUUACCCUAGGGAUAACAGCGCAAUCCCCUUUUAGAGCCCGUAUCAACAAGGGGGUUUACGACCUCGAUGUUGGAUCAGGACAUCCUAUUGGUGCAACCGCUAUUAAGGGUUCGUUUGUUCAACGAUUAAAGUCCUACGUGAUCUGAGUU